RNAcentral lists this ribosomal RNA (251 nucleotides) under uncultured bacterium. Its description in RNAcentral is "partial 16S ribosomal RNA". It matches the Rfam family "Bacterial small subunit ribosomal RNA", at positions 524 to 776 of the family's 1533-position model. The record is from RNAcentral.
UACGAAGGGGCUAGCGUUGCUCGGAAUUACUGGGCGUAAAGCGCACGUAGGCGGCUCUUUAAGUCGGGGUGAAAUCCUGGAGCUCAGCUCCAGAACUGCCUUCGAUACUGUAGAGCUUGAGUUCGGGAGAGGUGAGUGGAACUGCGAGUGUAGAGGUGAAAUUCGUAGAUAUUCGCAAGAACACCAGUGGCGAAGGCGGCUCACUGGCCCGAUACUGACGCUGAGGUGCGAAAGCGUGGGGAGCAAACAGG